UAGUUUAAAAGUUGCUUUUAAAAUAUGUCAUUAGUGAGUUGGUGAUUAUAAUAAAAUCACAUCUCUAAAAAAUCCUUGCAUAGAUUUUUAGAGGCACAAUCAUCUUUAGCCUUAAAUGCUUGGAUCUUCAGACAUACAGUUUUUUAAAU
This is a long non-coding RNA of Chelonia mydas (Green sea turtle), 149 nucleotides long. RefSeq lists it as uncharacterized. The transcript has 3 exons. The record is from RefSeq and is a predicted model, not a curated record. NCBI's taxonomy places the organism in Eukaryota, Metazoa, Chordata, Testudines, Cheloniidae.